UAUGCACCCAGCCUCUCCCCGAUCCGUCAGC
Molecule: non-coding RNA, 31 nt
Filed under: Homo sapiens (human)
Lineage: Eukaryota; Metazoa; Chordata; Mammalia; Primates; Hominidae
Source: RNAcentral